UACGGGAGGCAGCAGUGGGGAAUAUUGCACAAUGGGCGCAAGCCUGAUGCAGCCAUGCCGCGUGUAUGAAGAAGGCCUUCGGGUUGUAAAGUACUUUCAGUCGUGAGGAAGGUGUUAAGGUUAAUAACCUUAGCAAUUGACGUUAGCGACAGAAGAAGCACCGGCUAACUCCGUGCCAGCAGCCGCGGUAAUACGGAGGGUGCGAGCGUUAAUCGGAAUUACUGGGCGUAAAGGGCACGCAGGCGGUUAAUUAAGUUGGAUGUGAAAUCCCCGGGCUUAACCUGGGAAUGGCAUUCAAGCUGGUUAGCUAGAGUCUUGUAGAGGGGGUAGAAUUCCAUGUGUAGCGGUGAAAUGCGUAGAGAUGUGGAGGAAUACCGGUGGCGAAGGCGGCCCCUGGACAAAGGCUGACGCUCAUGUGCGAAAGCGUGGGGAGCAAAC
RNAcentral lists this ribosomal RNA (438 nucleotides) under uncultured bacterium. RNAcentral's name for it is "bacterial SSU rRNA". It matches the Rfam family "Bacterial small subunit ribosomal RNA", at positions 340 to 773 of the family's 1533-position model. The record is from RNAcentral.